UGACAGCAAAACAGGGGCCCUUGGAGUCAACCAGGCCGAACGUGCUGCCAGAAAACCAGGCAAGAGUGAGGACGUAUCGGACUUGCUUGGAACAGGCUAGUUCACGGGUUUGGAACCAUGAAGGAACCAGGCUGUCAGGUGGAGCUUUGGAGCUGGGGGUGAAGAACCCGUCUGUUGGCCUGGGGAAGGAGAUCUGGCCUGUUGGGGAGAGCCCAUGGGUGACAGGAGGACAUGCUGAGUAGGACCACUGUGUAGCAGUUCUAAUGGACAACACCACGGCCAUGUUCUAUCUGAACAAGCAAGGCGGAGCCUGCUCAUCGCUGCUCUGCCAAGAAGCCCUCCUUCUGUGGGACUUAUGCUUAGCCCAUUCCAUCAGCCUUGAGGCCUCGUAUCUGCAGGGUGUCCAGAACUUUCUGGCAGACAGCCUGAGCAGGCGUUUUCUCACUCACAAAUGGUCGAUAUGUCUGGAUAUCAUUCAUUCCAUUUUCUGCACCUGGGGGUUUUCCUGAGUCAAUUUGUUCACUUUGUAGACCAACAGGAAGUGCCCAGCAUUCUAUUCCUUCCGGGGCCGCAGUCCUGACUCAAUAGCCGAUGCCUUCCAGAUCACAUGGUCGAGUCAGCUGCUUUAUGCCUUCCCUCCUUUCCUGUUGAUGCACAAGGUGCUCAUGAAGGUCCGCCAGGACAAGGCAGAUGUCUAGUAGCCUCUGCCUGGCAUCAUCAGUGUUGGUACCCGACCCUGCUGGACCUGUCAAUCCAGGCUCCCCUGCAUGACAUCUCCCUCUCAGCGCUGACCUCAUCUUUCAGAACCAUGGUCGUCUCCUGCAGCCGGACCUUCAGUCGUUCCGCCUCACAGCCUGGAUGCUGAAUGCGCCUGUUCAGACUCGGUAAGACAGGUGCUUCUCGAAAGUUGCAAGCUGUCAACUAGGCUCACCUUCGAAGCCAAGUGGACAGGGUUGUCCAGCUGGUGCGCUCAGAGGCAGGUGCCCCUGCUUCAGGCUCCAAUCCAGUGCAUCUUGGACUACCUGAUGUUCCUAAAGGACCAGCAUCUAGCCUUUGGAUCCCUUAAGGUCCACCUCACGGCCAUCUCUGCUUGUUCCAGUAAAAGAUAUCACUUCACCUACCCUGUGUCUCUGUAGAUUCAUUUUGUGAUCUUGGGCUAAUCAAUUGUGUGUGCACAUUUUGAUGGGGAAGUAUAUGGCUAUUAAGGCAGGGGUGGGCAAACCAUUUGGCCUGAGGGCCACAUUGGG
Gopherus evgoodei (Goodes thornscrub tortoise) is the source of this 1247-nucleotide long non-coding RNA. RefSeq lists it as uncharacterized. Lineage: Eukaryota; Metazoa; Chordata; Testudines; Testudinidae. The record is from RefSeq and is a predicted model, not a curated record. The transcript has 3 exons.